Molecule: long non-coding RNA, 367 nt
Filed under: Dromaius novaehollandiae (emu)
Lineage: Eukaryota; Metazoa; Chordata; Aves; Casuariiformes; Dromaiidae
Description: lncRNA (ENSDNVG00000010111.1)
Source: RNAcentral
GGGCUGACAGUUCAGCUGGAAGCUCCCCAGGAAGCUGACCUGAUAAAGUUUUGUUCCAGAUUGUGACCCAGCUGAGAUUAUUUGGAGGGGCAAGAGCCCAGACAUUGUUGUGACAGCGGCUGUGAGAAAUCUCUCUUCACAGAUCUCCAAACGUCCAAUAGACAAGUGGCUGAAGUGGAAGUUUCUUAUUCUACAGGUCUGCUCCCUCCCCAGAACUGCUCCAUCAUGUGCAAUGAAUGAGGUGAGAGACUUGUACAAAACAGAUUUUAAUUGACUUGUUACAUCAUUACGCACAAGGGAAUGUAUUGAAUUUUACAGUUAGUCUUACUCUGAUAUUUCUCAGUUUUGGAAUUCUGAAUUUUUGCAA